This 254-nucleotide ribosomal RNA is filed under the name uncultured bacterium. RNAcentral describes it as "partial 16S ribosomal RNA". It matches the Rfam family "Bacterial small subunit ribosomal RNA", at positions 524 to 776 of the family's 1533-position model. The record is from RNAcentral.
UACAGAGGUCUCAAGCGUUGUUCGGAUUCAUUGGGCGUAAAGGGUGUGUAGGUGGCGCCGUAAGUCGGGUGUGAAAUUUCGGAGCUUAACUCCGAAACUGCAUUCGAUACUGCGGUGCUUGAGGACUGGAGAGGAGACUGGAAUUCAUGGUGUAGCAGUGAAAUGCGUAGAGAUCAUGAGGAAGACCAGUGGCGAAGGCGGGUCGUCUGGACAGUUCCUGACGCUGAGGCACGAAGGCCAGGGGAGCAAACGGG